RNAcentral lists this ribosomal RNA (506 nucleotides) under uncultured bacterium. Its description in RNAcentral is "partial 16S ribosomal RNA". It matches the Rfam family "Bacterial small subunit ribosomal RNA", at positions 28 to 523 of the family's 1533-position model. The record is from RNAcentral.
GAUGAACGCUAGCUACAGGCUUAACACAUGCAAGUCGAGGGGUAACGAGAGGAAAGCUUGCUUUCCUUGUCGACGACCGGCGCACGGGUGAGUAACGCGUAUCCAACCUGCCCCCAACUAGGGAAUAACCUUGCGAAAGUAAGACUAAUACCCUAUAAUUUCCUCAGAUGUCAUCUUACGAGGAAUAAAGAUUUAUCGGUUUUGUACGGGGCUGCGUCUGAUUAGCUUUGUGGCGGGGUAACGGCCCACCAAGGCAACGAUCAUUAGGGGUUCAGAGAGGAAGGUCCCCCACAUAGGAACUUAGACACGGUCCAAACUCCUACGGGAGGCAGCAGUGAGGAAUUUUGGUCAAUGGGCGGAAGACUGAACCAGCCAAGUAGCGUGCAGGAUGACGGCCCUAUGGGUUGUAAACUGCUUUUAUACAGGAAUAAAGUUAGCCACGUGUGGUUAUUUGUAGGUACUGUAUGAAUAAGGACCGGCUAAUUCCGUGCCAGCCGCCGCCGUAA